AGGUAGGUCUCUAUGGAAGAGGAAGUUAGCCGAUAACUAGUUUUUAUUGGUUCGACCCCAAUCCUGUCUU
This 70-nucleotide transfer RNA is filed under the name Ophioceres incipiens. Its description in RNAcentral is "tRNA-Ile". Lineage: Eukaryota; Metazoa; Echinodermata; Ophiuroidea; Amphilepidida; Ophiolepididae. The record is from RNAcentral.